Molecule: long non-coding RNA, 678 nt
Organism: Cyprinus carpio carpio
Lineage: Eukaryota; Metazoa; Chordata; Actinopteri; Cypriniformes; Cyprinidae
Source: Ensembl
UUUAAAAAGGCCAAGGCUAUAUGAAGAUUUCCAAGACAUUAAAAGUUCACUUUUAAUGAGACACAGCUCUCAGCCUUAUUUCUUAGCUUAAAGUGUGCUGUACCAGAAAACCUUUGAGGGUGUUGAAGAAAAAGCACAAUAUCAUAAAAUGUUUAAUCAGAGCAACUGAAAAAUAUCUGCAAUGUUAAGCCAAAGACUUGCAAGAUGACCUGAUUAAAGGAGGAAAACCAUUUCAAUGCAGUGUCAGAAGAACACCAUCUCCAUCAUCAAACUUGGAGGUGGAUCAGUCCUGUUAUGGGGUUGCUUUACUGUAGCAGGAAGUGGAAAUCAUGACUGUAUGAAGGACAUCAUGGAUUCUUUGAAGUAUCAGGCCAUUUUGACAAGAAUUGUGAUGCCUUUGGUGCAAAGACUGAAGCUGAUGAUCAAUGGGCUUUCCUGCAGGACCGUCAUCCCAAAGUACACAUCCAAAUCAACUUCUGCUUGUUUUGGGGGGUUGAAUAAUUUUGAACAUGAAUGUUUAGAGCCACUUUGAAUUUCAUCAUGAUUCAUCAGUGUUCCAUUCUCAGAAUCGCUCAAAAGUGUAUUAACAAACUUUCUCUAAUACUUUACUGAUGCCUUUGUUAAAUUGUUUUCAUAUAAUUUUGUUUGCCACAGCAAAAUGCCUUGCAGGUCAAGGGG